RNAcentral lists this ribosomal RNA (254 nucleotides) under uncultured bacterium. Its description in RNAcentral is "partial 16S ribosomal RNA". It matches the Rfam family "Bacterial small subunit ribosomal RNA", at positions 524 to 776 of the family's 1533-position model. The record is from RNAcentral.
UACGAGUGCCCCAAGCGUUAUCCGGAAUCAUUGGGCGUAAAGGGUGUGUAGGCGGCAUGGUUAGUCUCUUGUCAAAGCUCCUGGCUUAACCGGGAAGAUGCAAGGGAAACGGCCAUUGCUAGAGGAUGUGAGAGGUGAAUGGAACUCAUGGUGUAGGGGUGAAAUGCGUAGAUAUCGAGAGGAACACCUGCGGCGAAGGCGGGUUGCUGGGCUGAUACUGACGCUGAGGCGCGAAAGCCAGGGGAGCGAACGGG